GCAUCCCUCCCCUGACCCUCCCUCAUGCCAUGUUGUGCGCAGGCAGGCGGAUCCAUGGACGGAUGCGGCGCGGUGGUGAGUGGCAUGUGAUGGGCGACAGCUUUUGCGCGGGCGCGCCGGCCCCCACGGGUGGUGACCUGACCUGACCCCUCCCGGCAUGCGUUGAACAUGUCUGCUGAGAAUGAAAGACACCAGCGCAUGGGGUGGGGGGGUUCUUUCAGGGUUCGUUCAAAGUUGCAGGCAUCUUCGUUCGUCGGUCGCUUCUUCUCCGUUCCGCUCCGCUCCGUUCCGUUCGUCUCGCUUUCCUCGCUCGCUCUGCCUCUGACGAACACAUGCCACCGCCCACCCGCUGACCGCUCCGCCAAAGCGGCCCGCUGCAGCGGGAGAUGGAGAGAAAGCUCUGAGGGUCAAGACUCGGGAGGAGAGGACUGGCAGAAGAAUCUCAUAUUGAUGCAGGGCGCUGAUGCUUUGAGGAAAUGGGACGAGGGGGGGCGUCUUUCAGGAACAGUGCCGCGGUUAUCCAUCCACCUUUUUUUAAGAGAGAGAGAGAGAGAUCAUUUCGAGC
Molecule: unclassified non-coding RNA, 565 nt
Filed under: Zea mays
Lineage: Eukaryota; Viridiplantae; Streptophyta; Magnoliopsida; Poales; Poaceae
Description: misc RNA Zm00001eb100390
Source: RNAcentral